Non-coding RNA from Podarcis lilfordi (Lilford's wall lizard), 242 nucleotides. The record is from the annotation of a GenBank genome assembly. NCBI's taxonomy places the organism in Eukaryota, Metazoa, Chordata, Lepidosauria, Squamata, Lacertidae.
AGGAUAAGGAUGCCCAUACGACCCUGAAAGUGGCUAGGUUCCUGGUCGCUGUCCUUACCCAAAAGCGUCGCCAAGGAGCACCACAAGCUAAUUAAGGCGUAGUAUGCCAUUCCAUCUUAUAGUAGCUUAUUGUUAUAGUAGUGUUUUAGCGGCUGUUUUUUUCCCAUGUGCACAGGCUGUUAUUUAUGUCUUGUUUUUAUCUGUAUGGGCCUACGGCCGUAAUAAAUUAUUAUUAUUAUUAU